UGGGGAAUCUUCCGCAAUGGGCGAAAGCCUGACGGAGCAACGCCGCGUGAAUGAAGAAGGCCUUCGGGUCGUAAAGUUCUGUCUUUUGGGAAGAAGGCCCAUGGGGUAAAUAAUCCUGUGGGAUGACAGUACCAGAGGAGGAAGCUCCGGCUAACUACGUGCCAGCAGCCGCGGUAAUACGUAGGGAGCGAGCGUUGUCCGGAAUUACUGGGCGUAAAGGGCGCGUAGGCGGGUAUUUAAGUCAGAUGUGAAAGCCCCGGGCUUAACUCGGGGAUUGCAUUUGAAACUGGGUAUCUUGAGGGCAGGAGAGGAAAGUGGAAUUCCUAGUGUAGCGGUGGAAUGCGUAGAUAUUAGGAGGAACACCAGUGGCGAAGGCGACUUUCUGGACUGUACCUGACGCUGAUGCGCGAAAGCAUGGGGAGCAAACG
Molecule: ribosomal RNA, 428 nt
Filed under: uncultured prokaryote
Description: bacterial SSU rRNA
Rfam family: Bacterial small subunit ribosomal RNA
Source: RNAcentral